CAACAGCAAAGUAUGAACGUUCCGCUCGAGUCUUUGUUUCCUGUCGGACAUGUUAAGUGGCAGACAUGCAGCAACAAUGGUAGCAAUCCCAGUAAUCUUCAUCAUGAACCUUACUCAAAUGUGAAUGAAAAGAAAAAAGAAAGUGAUGAGCAGUGAGAAAAACAAGUACGAAGUACGAUGGAGGUCUUUGGAUUCACUGGAACUACCGCAGGUAACGAGAAGGGCGACACGGCAGUGUGGCUGGAUCAAAAGAGACGUCGGAGACGCUUUACUGAACCAAAAGUUGCUUUCUUACAAGCGAGCGCCAUUAUACAGGACUGCAGUUCCCUGGAGGAGGUCAGGUCAAGAAAAUGAGGCACUCCUAAUUGGAGAAGCCAAACCAUCAGUUUUUAUAUUACUCCUUCCUGUCUGUUUGUGUGUGUGCUAAGUCAGGAGAGCACAUCCUGACCAUAAAAGGAGAUGUCCGUGUGUAAGUGUCUGGAAAACAACUGCUUUAAGUCAUAACUUAAAUGUUGGCGUUGAGCUAAACAGAUAGUCUUUUCUCAAGGAUAUGGUUAUCACUUUUGCAGUCCGAAGUCCCAAUUAGGGCCUCUUUCCUCCGAGAAGUGAUCCAAUCCACCUGCGAAUAUCAAACUAAGGGGCCUUAUCUAUUUAUGUGCUCAAACUGAAAUACCACUAUUUACUUAAACUUGGUGGUUUGCUUUCUCCAAGGUAAAUAUAAACAUUCACC
Molecule: long non-coding RNA, 730 nt
Organism: Nerophis lumbriciformis (worm pipefish)
Lineage: Eukaryota; Metazoa; Chordata; Actinopteri; Syngnathiformes; Syngnathidae
Source: RefSeq, a predicted model, not a curated record